AUGGCAGCGCGCCGGGCAGUCCCUCGUCUCGGGACGUUGCGUGGCACCUCGGGGUUUGUGCAAAGUCAGCGUGGCCUGGAGCUGAAGCCGACAUCGGCUGCAGAGGGAGAAGCGAGAGCUGGAGCAGAAACCACGCUUCUGCUGAGGCCAGGGACAGAGAGCGCCCGGUCUGAGGGUGAGAGGUGGCAGGGGGGAGACAGCUUGGCCUUGAGACGCCGGCUCGCGGAGCGCGUCCCAGCCGCCUGCCGCCGGGAGGGCUCGGUGCGCCCGUGGGCGGGCUUCCUGCAGUCCACACGGCCCCGGCUCUCCUCGUGUCCUCUGCCCUGGCUCCUUUUCCAAAGCUGGCUCCGGGGCUUGCUCUUCCCUGGGCUCCACACUCAGCUCCUGGGCUCCACACUCAGCUCCGUCUCUCCUCUCUGCAGGAAACUUCCUGGACUCGGGUCAGCCCCUCCUGGGGUUUCUGCUGCCACUAAUGGUGCAUGAGGCUGGUGUCACGGCUCACUAGGCUAAUCCUCCGCCUGCGGCGCCGGCACACUGGGUUCUAGUCCCGGUCGGGGUGCCGGAUUCUGUUUCAGUUGCCCCUCUUCCAGUCCAGCUCUCUGCUAUGGCCCAGGAGUGCAGUGGAGGAUGGCCCAAGUGCUUGGGUCCCUGCACCCCAUGGGAGACCAGGAUAAGUACCUGGCUCCUGGCUUCGGAUCAGCGCAGUGCGCUGGCUGCAGCAGCCAUUGGAGGGUGAACCAACGGCAAAGGAAGACCUUUCUCUCUGUCUCCCUCUCAUUGUCCACUCUGCCUGUCAAAAAGAAAAAGAAAAAGAAAAAGAAAAAGAAAAAGAAAAAGAAAAAGAAAAAGAAAAAGAAAAAAGAAUGGUGCAUGAGAGGCUGUGACAGAGUACUAAGAGCACAGAAGCAGAGGGGCCAAGCACCUGCCCUCGUGGUUCAGGUCAGGGGGCUGACCCUUGACCCCUCCAGUCCCUGGAACAUCAAGGUAUUCUGUCCACACGUGGUGCUGCCGACGCAAGGCCAGCUUUGACCUGCACAGAUGGUCCCUGACUUGGGAGCGCUGCAGGUAACAAUUUUCGACUUUACAAUGGUGCAAAAGUGGUACGCAUUCAGAAGACUCUGUUUCAAGUUUUAAUUUUGAUCUCUUCCCCAGGUAGCCACAGGUGGUACUACCCGCCAUCCCUGCACCCCCCCCCCCACCUUUCCAGGAUGCUCAGUGAGCCACAGCACCCACUCGGCCUGUCUCCAAGGGGGCCACCUGCUGUCCGGGGACCCAGGCACUCAGGGAAUUGCACGAGAGAGUUCAUGCUUUAUGAUAACAUAGGCUUUGUGGUGGAUGAGUUUGCUCAACUGGAGGCAAAAAGUCUCUGAGGACUUCCGAGGUCGGCCGGGCUAAGCGGCGGCGGUCCGUGCGGCAGGUGCACUGAAUGCUCUUUCCACGAGCCGGGGCCUCGCUGGUGUGACCGUGCCCCAGAAGUCAGGGAGCAACCGGUCAGCCCUGGCGCCUGUUUGUUCUGUGACUGAUUCCGGCUGCUUCCACUUCAAACCACAGCGCCGCGAGCGUUAGCCUUCCCUCUGCAAACCGGGAGCCACGCUGGAGCCAGGGUGGGAUGCGCCAGGAAGAAGCCGCCACUGCCACCUCUGGGGUCUGCAUCUGCAGGAAGCUGGGGCAUGGAGCCAGAGCCAGGAGCCAAGCAGGCUGUGCAGGCAACUCAGCGAUGAAGGGCCUGCUCCCAGGGAAGCUUUAUUUUGGGGCAAGAACAUUUUCAAGUCCAUACAUAGUUUUUUCAUAACACAUGUUUUCCAUGAACUUUUAAAAGCACCCAUAUAUAUAUUCUAAAAUUGUAAUUUUAGAAUAUAGCUUAUUAUAUGAUACAGGCCCAUAGGAUAUGGUAUAAUAAUAUGCACAAUCUGUAGUGUAUACCUUAUAUAUGUUUAACGCGUCAUAUUCAUACACACGACAUGCACACUAAAGAACUGGCUCAUGAAGUGAUUAUGGAGGUCGCAAUGCCCAGGCCAAGGAGGGGUGACCAUGGAGCUCAGUCUCUGGAAUGUUCCAGAGACCGGCACCAGGGCUCCGACACUGAGACAGGAGACGGAGCCUCCCCAGGCCUUCCGUCCCGCCCAGGUCUUCAGCUGCGGGACCGGGAGAGCCGUCCCGGCUCACUGAGCAGCAGCGCAGAAUGCGGUACCUGCGCUCCGAGGCCCUGUCUGUCCACGCGGCACUUGAGAUGAUCCAUCGGGGACUGAGACGCACCGCGUGGCUGCCUCGUUCCUGGCCGCGCGACAGAAGGGUGGCCUGCUUCUGCCACGAGGCCCUGCUGGGACGUGGGGUUGGGGUGCGCCGGCUCAGGGUGGCCUGAGAACACACUUGGCUGUGUCUUGUGGUCGCAGAGUGUCCCCUGGUCACACAGCGCCCACCUGGAUCCGGGCGGCUCGGCGACCAGGGACAGUGCCCACUAAGAAUAGGACAUGGGUGAGGAGAGAGCACAGCGUGUUGGUUUUGGGUGGAUUUUCCCACUUCCCGCUGCAAGGCCUUGGGGACAAUGAGCGGUGACGUUUCGGGGGAGCAGGUUGGCUGUCGGGGGCGUGCCUGGGCCUCAGGCCACUGCUACUCCUGAGUCAAAGCAGCCAGGCAGCUCCCCGGGCUGGGGCUUGCCUCAGUCUCCCCGGGGAACCUUUCCCAGGAACCGCAGACUGAAGGGUGGAAAACACAGAGAUGGGUUCCCUCCUGGAUUUGGAGGAAGGAGACCCAGGAUGGAGAGGCUGGCCGGGCUGGCUCCCCGCGGAGACCCUCCGAGCCUCAGGAGGUGGUGCCCGCCUCCCCGGCCUCACCCCGGCUUCCUCCUCGGUCGUGGCCCCGUAUGUCUCUCUGUAGCCACACCGCCUCCUUUCUUUGUCACACGACACUUGUCGGCCUUAGAGCCCACCCGAAACCCACCACGACGUCAUCCUACCUUGAUUCCGUCUCCAGGGAGCCCAGGUCCAAAGCAGGUCGCGUCCCAGGGCUGAGCGGAUACGAACUUCGGGGGGACACUUAUUCACCCCACCACUGCCGUGCAGCAGGAGGAGGUGCCAUUUGGGGACUGGCCGAAGCGCAUUUCACAGGUAGCGAGUGACAGAUGGGACUCGGGCCCUGGCUCUCAGUUUCCGGGAGGAGGAGGAUGGAUUAAGGGGGCGCUGUGCAGUUCUCCAAGAAAAAGUAGAAGUCUGGAUUUGGAGGGUUUUUGCCAUAAAAAAAUGUUAAAGGCACAAGGUGACAGAUCCGUUGCCCUGAUUGGACAUUCCACAGUGCGUCCAUGGAUCAAGGCAUCGCAUGGGACCCCGUAAAUAGACUCCAUUUUUAUGUGUCAGUUAAUAAUAAAAAAUGAAUUUUAAGAAUGCA
Molecule: long non-coding RNA, 3384 nt
Filed under: Oryctolagus cuniculus (rabbit)
Lineage: Eukaryota; Metazoa; Chordata; Mammalia; Lagomorpha; Leporidae
Description: lncRNA (ENSOCUG00000036863.1)
Source: RNAcentral